This is a long non-coding RNA of Engraulis encrasicolus (European anchovy), 548 nucleotides long. RefSeq lists it as uncharacterized. The record is from RefSeq and is a predicted model, not a curated record. The transcript has 5 exons. Lineage: Eukaryota; Metazoa; Chordata; Actinopteri; Clupeiformes; Engraulidae.
CUUAUCUGUCGCUUUGGGGUCCUAGCUGCGUUGCCCUGGUAACAACUGUAAACAAAAGGCUGCGGUUAACUGCUCCGCUCCCUGACAGGAUUUUUCGUUCAUUCGUGCCAAUGAAACAGGAGGCCUCGAUUCAUGCAGAAGAUAAGGUUUGAAACCCAGACAGCACGAAGCAUCUUGCCGACGUCAAAAUCAGAUCAACAGACAGGGACAUCAGCCUUCUCUUGGGAAUAGGCCAGAUAUGCCAUAACAAGAAAUGGUGUUUUGCCCCUGCGGUUGUGAAGAGGAUGCUGUGGAGGUGGCAGCAUGAACGUGUCACACAGACAUUGGCUAAACAACUCGGCUUCUACACUUGACAACAAAUGUGCUCUACGAUGACAUUUCCAGCAUGUCCAACUCAUCAGCAUCAGGGGAGAUUCGGUGAAGGUGGUGCACCAUCCAGGACCAGUCAUGGGUCACCAACACCUCUGCAAAAUCUACACUUCUUGUGAACCCUGUAGAAGACACUACAACCACAAAACUGCUAAUAAACCAUCACAUACUGCAUCACA